UGGGGAAUAUUGGACAAUGGGCGAAAGCCUGAUCCAGCAAUACCGCGUGUGUGAAGAAGGCCUGAGGGUUGUAAAGCACUUUUAAUCGGGAGGAACAUCUACGGGCCAAUACCCCGUAGUCUGACAUUACCGAUAGAAAAAGCACCGGCUAACUCCGUGCCAGCAGCCGCGGUAAUACGGAGGGUGCAAGCGUUAAUCGGAAUUACUGGGCGUAAAGCGUGCGUAGGCGGUUGCUUAAGUCAGAUGUGAAAGCCCCGGGCUUAACCUGGGAACUGCAUUUGAUACUGGGCGACUAGAGUUGAGUAGAGGAGAGUGGAAUUUCAGGUGUAGCGGUGAAAUGCGUAGAGAUCUGAAGGAACACCAGUGGCGAAGGCGACUCUCUGGACUCAAACUGACGCUGAGGUACGAAAGCGUGGGUAGCAAACAGG
Molecule: ribosomal RNA, 428 nt
Filed under: uncultured bacterium
Lineage: Bacteria
Description: bacterial SSU rRNA
Rfam family: Bacterial small subunit ribosomal RNA
Source: RNAcentral